RNAcentral lists this transfer RNA (71 nucleotides) under Cordylochernes scorpioides. RNAcentral describes it as "tRNA-Gly". It matches the Rfam family "tRNA". Rfam says of the family: Transfer RNA (tRNA) molecules are approximately 80 nucleotides in length. Their secondary structure includes four short double-helical elements and three loops (D, anti-codon, and T loops). The record is from RNAcentral. Lineage: Eukaryota; Metazoa; Arthropoda; Arachnida; Pseudoscorpiones; Chernetidae.
CCAUCGGUGGUUCAAUGGUAGAAUGCUCGCCUGCCACGCGGGGGGCCCAGGUUCGAUUCCCGGCUGAUGCA